AUGGUCGACCCGGUGCCGCACCUCACCGACGAAAUCAUGGAGGAGAUCUUCCUCCGCCUGGCCACCCCGGCCGCGCUCGCCCGCGCCUCAACCGCCUGCCCCCGUUACCGCCGCGUCAUCACCCAGCGCUCCUUCCUCCGCCGCUACCGCAAGCGCCAACCGCCGCCGCUCCUCGGACUCCUCAGCGAGCAAGACGGCUUCCACCCCGCUCAGGCGCCCCACCCCUCCGCCCCGCUCGCGCGCGCCCUCGCCGUCGCCGCUGAUUUCACCUACUCAUUCGUCCCCAAGCUCAAAUUUGGUAACCCACCGUUCCCUGCCGACUGGUAUCUCCGCGACGCCCGCGUCCUCCUCGACGAUAGACCAGGCAAAACCACCACGGCCAUGUUCAGAAACCUUGCGGUUUGCGACCCGCUGUCACGGCGCUACGUGUUGAUUCCAUCCAUACCCAAGGACCUGGCCGUCCAGGAAGAGAAAUUUGUUCAGAUCGAGACCAUGCUCGCUCAAUCGGUGACGAUGAGGAUGAGACGGCCUUCAGAGUUAUCUGCCCGGCGCACUACACCAGCAAAUUGGUUGCAUUUGUCUUCUCUUCCGUCACUUCAAAUUGGUGUAUAG
This 612-nucleotide ribosomal RNA is filed under the name Triticum aestivum (bread wheat). RNAcentral's name for it is "partial small subunit ribosomal RNA". Lineage: Eukaryota; Viridiplantae; Streptophyta; Magnoliopsida; Poales; Poaceae. The record is from RNAcentral.